Long non-coding RNA from Neofelis nebulosa (Clouded leopard), 1082 nucleotides. RefSeq lists it as uncharacterized. Lineage: Eukaryota; Metazoa; Chordata; Mammalia; Carnivora; Felidae. The transcript has 3 exons. The record is from RefSeq and is a predicted model, not a curated record.
AAUAGAUAAACAUUAAAAAAAAAAAAAAGGAAACAAUUUUUCAGUCUGGCUAGCUUUCAAAGCCUUCCUUGUCUUUGCAGCUCUAACCGACUUGCACAUAUUUUGUGCUUCAAACUUGCAGCCCUCUGAACGCCCGUCUCACAUUCUGCCUUUGGCUCAAGCUUGCCCUGGAGCAUCUUCUCUCCACUGCUGUUGGAAUCUUACUCAUCUUCCGAGGUUCACUUCCAGUGAUAACUCAUUCUUCAAUGAAGAUUUCUUAAUCCUCUUAACCAAAGGCAAAGAUCAGACAGCUGCCCGAAGGCCUGCAAAUGGCCAACCGUGGUGCAGGUGUCUGUCCUAGGUACUGGAACUAGUGACACGGAGCUGUGGGAAUUUGCCCCUUGGCCGGAAGACCUAGAAGUCAGAGGAACGAGGGUUAUUUGGCCCGGAGACAAUUAGACCUAGAGGAAUUAUUGUACCAAGAAAGUAAUUCCUCUUCUAAGCGCUCAUUGCCUGGUGUCUCCGUGCUACGGACAGAGAUCUGACACCUUUGGAAGAUCCUGAAAGAGAAAGAUGACAGAUGAGAAACGUCAGGUCUUCCUACCACCAAGGACUCGUGAGGGGCAUGAUGGAUUUUUUGCAACCAGCCUUCAACCCUAUGAAUGGAAAGUUGGUAGAACUUGUUAGCUCUUGCUUCCGUCUUGGUAAGUUCUAGUUACGAGCUGGGACAUCAUUUCCAUAGCUUUUAUGAAGUCUUUCAGAAAUAUGGGUGUUGAAACGCAGGGCUGAAGACACUUUCUACUUUUCACUGGGAAGCAACGUCUGGCUGGCGGCAGUUUCGGGAUGUGUUUGCCCCUGGUGCUUCAGAAUCGAUUCGCUGGACCACACUGGGCAGCGGUCAGCAGAAGCAAUAGGGCUCCAGGGAUUGCGCAAAACGCCUAAAAUUUUCUUUUUCUCCUGCCGGGUUCUCCUUUUACCACGGAGGCAAACUGGAGAGAGUAGCCUGAGACUCUGGGCUCAUUUUCCUCCCCUGGGUUCAAGUUGGAGAAAACAAUGCUAAUUACAUUUCUAACAGCAGCAAAUAAAUUUGAAAGUAAAGCUCU